AUUCCUUUCUUCUUCCUCCUUAAGGUCUAAACGUUUAUUGAACGGAGGCUCAAAACCGAGUUACUGAACUAGGCUUUCAGUAGUAGACACGUGUCAUGUUUAAGAUUUAUUUUAUUCAUUUCCAUCCAUUGUGCCAAAGGACCUGCUCCAGGAAAAUGCUCCCCUGUUGAUAGGUGCGGGAGAGUAAAAGGGAGACGAUGAAGCUAAAUUAAAACUGAAGUCCUUUGUGCUCAGGGAAUAUGACCUUAGAGUGGGAGAGGGGCGGGGAGUGAGUAGAAAAGUCGGCGAAGCAAAAAUAAGGAAGGUUGGGGCCCUGUAACCUAGCAUCCUGAAAUAUCAGCGUAGGUAAGGUAGCAGGCAAGGCACGAAUGCACUCAAAGCCCAGGUGUACUUCCCUCAUCAAAUGCUGGCUCCCGAAGGGUACUGAGGGGAGGGGUCACGCGGGGGGAGGGGGGGUGUCCCUGGAUGGUUUUUUCCUCUUUAGGGACCUGCUUGCCGGAUGAUUCCGUCUCCCACUUGCUUCUCUUCGGCUCCUUCUUUCCCAUCUGCCAGGGGAGCUUAAAGACAUCUCUGCCGCCCAGUUACAAAAAGUGGCAACUUCCCCUCCGGCCCGCAGACUGAUCGCUCAUUUGAAUGCGUUUCCUUUUCAUUAAGAACAAAGGUUGGAGUCCGAGCCUCGCGGCGCGGCGGCCGGAAAGUACAAGAUGUGUGUCGAGAGCAAACACACACACACACACACACACACACACACAGAAUGACCCACGAGAAAGGGAAAGGGGAAAACACCAAUCCUGCGCUGGGCUUUUUCGACUUUUCCUUUAAAAAGAAAAAAGUUUUUCAAGCUGCGCGGGCUUCCUGUGCGCGGCUGAGCCGGGGCGCAGCGCGACGGUCCCAUCGGGCGGCCUCCACCCUCGGGACGCGAGCGGAGCGCCGAGCCCAGCGGCGAUCACGCGACGCGGGGAAGGAAGGAAGAUCUCUCCUUUCAAAGAUAACUAGCCAAAUGAACAUAAUAAACAAGUCCAAGCAGUUGGAGGGGCGGCCGCCACCCCACCGUCUCCAAAUAACUGAUUCGCAUUUCCGAGACGGUUCACCUGAAGCCUUGCCUGCCACCUUGGUUCUCCCACCUGAAGGAGAUGGUUCUAAUGGUGGUGCAAACCAGGAAGGGGAAAUCUGUGGUUUACGUUCUCUGUGCCUCAUCCCUCUCGGAGAGCUGGAGGCUUGCUGGAGGCUAUAUGCUGUUAAUGCUAAUUGUGAUAGGGGUUUUUACCUCCGUCUGACUCCUACAUGUUAGCAUUAACAGGGUAUGAUGCCUGUUACUAGCAUUCACAUGGAACAAACUGCUGCUGUGGGAGGAUGACAAAGAAGUGUGAGUCACCCUGCUGGAUAAACUCAGACUUUAAGCUUUAUUAUUUUUUGUUAAUCAUAAUCUGGUCACUGGGAUGUUCCACCUGAUAGUAAGUCUUUAAGAAUAAGGUCUUGUAAAAGAUUUAUCAACGGUAUCCUGAAAGCAAACUUUUUUACUUUAAUCCUUAAGCCCACAUUUUUUUUAAAAAAAUCUUUAAUGGAAAAUGUAUUCCUGUCCUUUUUAAUUCACAGUUAUGGUUUGUUCAUUAUAACUGUUUAUAAACACUUUGAAUAAUUUAACUAGAAAGAAAUAUAAACACAUUCUGAGUAUCUUUGCAGUUAAAAAUUAGGACUACUAUCCACUAAUUAAUCAUGGAUUGUUGGGAAAUAUGUUCAAAAAGAUUUAGAAAUUGGUAUUUCCCCCAUGUAACAAUUCUAUUUAGACAACUUCAGUUUCAAAUGGAUACUUUUAUAUGAAUCUUAAAGUAGACUUGAAAGGCUAUGGCAAUUAGUUUUUAAAAAAUGAAAGAUUUCAUUCUUUUUUAUGGCUGAGUAGUAUUCCAUUGCAUAUAUAUACCACAUAUCCUUAAUCCACCCAUUCGUCUGUCGCUGGACAUUUAGGCUGUUUCCAUUUGCAGCAACAUGGAUGCAAAUAGAGAUUCUCAUACUAAAUGAAGUUAAGUCAGAAAGAUAAAGACAAAUUCCAUAUGAUAUCAGUUAUAUGUGGACUCAAAAAUAUGGCACAAAUGAACCUAUCUACAAAACAGAAACAGACCCACAGACAUAGAGAAUAGACUUGUGGUUGCCAAGGGGGAGGGAAGAGGGAGUGGGAUGGAUGGGCAGUUUGGGGUUAGUAGAUACAGACUAUUACAUUUAGAUUAGAUGGGCAAUGAGGUCCUACUAUUCAGCACGGGGAACUAUAUCCAGUCUCUUGGGAUAGACCAUGAUGGAAGAUAAUAUAAGACAAGGAAUGAAUAUAUACAUAUGACUGGGUCACCUUGCUGCAAUAGCAGAACUUGCCACAACGUUGUACAUCAACUAUACGUUAAUAAAAAAAUCAAAAAGAUUUUUUAAACUUAGUACAGUUAAUGACAUGUGAGAACCAAUCCAUCUUUUCCCUACAAGAUAACAAAGAUUUGAUCAAAAAAAAUCUCUUAUUUGAAAUUAAGUCCCAAAACUAUGUUCAAAUUCAAUAGCUUAGCCGUUAGGUCAGAAAAUCCACCUCUCCUCUUCUCAGCUUGUUUAUUGUCCCACAGAAUGGGCUAAUACUUAACAGAGUUGGUAUGAGGCUUACGUGAGAUGGAGAACUAUUUUGUAAAAUAUGAAGUAUCAAUGUUAAUAUAUUAAUAAUAUAUUAACGUUAUAGUCAAAUUAAUCCCCCCUCUUUGUUAGAGAAAAACUAAUGAUUUGAUCCACAGAAUUUUUCAGGUCUGGAUUUCUAUGCCAUUUUUCUCCAGAGUUAUAGAACUGUACCACUUACAAAUACAUAGCUAAUUGUAAUCAGCAUCUUUAAUGUGUGUUUGUGUUAGCAACUCUUCUCAAUGUUUUGUCAAACAAGUUAUGUGCACUGAAACCAAAUAAAUCACUUGAGUGGUUGAUUUAAAAUAAUUUUUUGUUAUGGCCUUUUUUCUUUUGCAUCAUACAAAUUAUAAUUUCAGAAGUUAUUUACACACACACACACACACAAAGACAAUGGGAAAAAAUUAUGAGACCUCUAAGGGGAACAUUGCUGACUCUUAGGACACAGUAUUCUCAUGUGGGGGCAUCCCCCCCCCGGCCUAUCCCCCAUCUCUGUUCAGGUGGUCUGUGCUGCCAAAAUAAAUUCCUCCUCUUGACCCUGGAAGGAACACGUGGCUCCAGAGAGCCUCCAUGUAGGUACAUCACAAUAAGGCAUGUUUCCUGGGACUAUUCAUUUCAUCUGCACUGCUUGUCUUCUAGAGGAGUCCUUACUCUGAGUCCCAGUUCUUCCACACCCUGCUUGCAGCACCUACAGCCACGGAGUCUCAGUGUGUUAGCCCUGGAAUACGCUAAUCCAGUAUUACCUUCCUGCUGUUACAAUGAAAAGCUAUGUACAUCGAAAAGGCAGAUUAAGAAAAACUGCUGUGAAAUGAUUUGUUUGAAGAGCGACAGACCACUCUAUAUGAAACUAAAGGGAGUUUUACUUAAUCUAAGUCUCAGUUUCUUCAUCAGUAAAACAAUGAAUGUAUUUCAUAAGGAUGGCAGGCUGAAAUGAAAACAGUAUUUCUGAAAAGCAUGGUGUCUGCUCUGCAAUAAGUGUUAAGUAAACACUAGCUUUAAAAGUUUUAAAUUUCUAAAUCAAGUGACCUACCCUACCCUAGCAGAUCUCUCCAAGGACACAGCAGCUCCAAUCUAACCAUAAUCCCAGGAUGACAACCCAGGGAACCUGAAUAAUGCCACUGUCACUGGGUUUUCUCUUAGCCCAACUCUCUUAGGCCUCUAGUGCCUGACCUCAUGGUCUUAGACGGAGUCCUCCUGACCAAUAUAUUUAGUCAUUUCAAACAUUCUUGGAACAUGAGUAAGACUGGGGGUGUGUUUGGGUUGGAGGAAGAGGUAAGUGGCAAGGAAGUGAGUGUGUGUGUUGAAGUGACAAACUAAGAGUGGCUAAAGGGAACGUGGGCUCUGGGAUAGAUGGUGAAGGGAAAAGGACCUCAGUUUGGUACACAGAAUAACAGAACUGUGUGAAGCACUACAUUAUGCAGGACCUGAUUUAUUUAAUUACAAAAAAAAAACCCUGAAGAAUGAGGGUUGUCUAGGAUCUGACUCACUUCCCCAGAAAGUUGUUACAGUAGAGAUCAGGCUUUUCUUCUUCACUGUCACCAGCUGGAUAGACCCAGAAACUUAAAACAAAGGGGGGAAAAAGAGAAGAAUAAGGAAAAAAGUGAAAUGAGGAGAAUAAGGAACUUAUAUAAAACUGGAGUAUUAGAAUUUUUCCAAAAAUGGAGAUGACCAGGACUUUGUUCGAAGGUUAGGAAACUUGAAGAAUAAAAAAAGCUUGAAGGAAAUAGAGAGCCCAUAAAUGCGAAGCACUCAAAAAAGGCUGACCCAUUAUGUGGUUCUCCAGAAAACUGAAACGAAUAGAUGAAAUCUGCAUGUAACAGUUCAGCUUUCCACUUAGGAUUUCAUAUUUUGUCAUAUGCAAUACGGAGAAGGAAAUAAUGCAUACGUAAAAGAUUUGUUGUUGUUGUUGUUACUAUUGUGUUUUAACUAAUCUAAGAGUUCCAGUAUUAGUCUUCAACCGGCUAACACAUAUACAUCCCUAACCACUUAAGUAAUGAUUUUUCUAGGUGGAUUUCUCAAAUGUCAUUCCAUGCCAACGAUGUCUUCCCUAGGUUGGAUCACUCUUCCACCCUUCUUUGCACAGCUCAGCGAUUUCUCGGGUCACUAGCAUUUAACACACUGUAUCCCACUUUGUUUUCAUAUGGGAAUGACUGAACUAGAGCAGGUGGUACCCUAGGGCCCAUCCACCUUUUCGCCUACCCAUAUCCUGCUCACUGUUCACCAACUUAAUCACCAUUAUCAUUCCAAGGCGAAACCUAAAAACAGAACUCGGCUUAAAUAUACCAUGACCCAGGAACUUCCACAUGGCACAAGCUGGGCCAAAUAGAUAAAUAAAUAAUGAUGAAUACAGUGAACAUUUCACUUUAUACUGACAGGUUCAAAGAGAUGAUCUGGAGGAUAUAAAAGUUCAUUACAGCAAAUAAAUGACUGGAACAUGCUACAUAUAAAUGAUGAGCUAGGGCUGCAAUUAUCUCCUCAGAAACCUGUCAAGGUGCAGGCUCCCAGGCUCCCACCCCCAAGAUUCUGAUUCUGCAAUGAGGCUGAGGAAAGUACCUUUUUACCAAG
Molecule: long non-coding RNA, 5208 nt
Filed under: Sus scrofa (pig)
Lineage: Eukaryota; Metazoa; Chordata; Mammalia; Artiodactyla; Suidae
Description: lncRNA (ENSSSCG00025068559.1)
Rfam family: mir-155 microRNA precursor family (bases 1236-1300)
Source: RNAcentral